Molecule: ribosomal RNA, 112 nt
Filed under: Apteryx haastii (Great spotted kiwi)
Lineage: Eukaryota; Metazoa; Chordata; Aves; Apterygiformes; Apterygidae
Also listed under: 1 other name
Source: RNAcentral
GCUUGCAUUCAUAUCAUCAUUGUCUAUGAUCUCAACUCAUAAAUUAAGUAAGGUUGGGUUUUGUCAGUUCUUGGAUAGGAGGCCUCCAAGGAAAACCCAGAUGGUGCAGGCA